This 468-nucleotide ribosomal RNA is filed under the name uncultured bacterium. RNAcentral describes it as "partial 16S ribosomal RNA". It matches the Rfam family "Bacterial small subunit ribosomal RNA", at positions 28 to 507 of the family's 1533-position model. The record is from RNAcentral.
GAUGAACGCUGGCGGCGUGCUUAACACAUGCAAGUCGAACGGUGAAGCCCCUGCUUGCUUUGUGGGUUCGGUGGCGUACGGAUGAGUUACACAUGAGCAACCUGCCCUUGCCCCUGGGUUAGGAUCAGCGAAUGACGUCUAAUCCUGGAUAUGAGACGCGGUGGCUUUGUCUGCGUCUGGCAGGGAUUUAGGUUGGGGAUGGGCUCGCGGCGGGUCAGCUUGUUGGUGGGGUGGUGGCUGACCAAGGCUUCGACGGGUAGACGGCCUGAGAGGGUGACCGGCCAGACUGGGACUGAGACAGGGCCCAGACUCCUGCGGGAGGGAGCAGUGGGGAAUAGUGCACUACGGGGGCGAGGCGGAAGCAGCGACGGCGCGCGGGGGAUGACGGCCUUCGGGUUGUAAACCACUUUUGGCUGGGAAGAAGGGAGAUUGACGGUACCUGGAGAAGAAGCGCCGGCUAACUACGUG